RNAcentral lists this long non-coding RNA (1212 nucleotides) under Lupinus angustifolius (narrow-leaved blue lupine). RNAcentral describes it as "long non-coding RNA (LANG_LNC003461)". Lineage: Eukaryota; Viridiplantae; Streptophyta; Magnoliopsida; Fabales; Fabaceae. The record is from RNAcentral.
AAAAAAAUAAUAUUCUCUCUGAAAAGCUCUCUUCUUCUUCAAAACAUCUAUUCUUCUUCAAAGCAUCAAACUUCAACAUGUAAGUACCAUCUCCUUCAUCUUUAAAGUUUUACUCUUUUAUUUUGUGUUCUUCUUGAAACCAUUUUGAUUGCGGAAAUUUUUCAACAUCAAAUCAAAACUUUUUCAAAGAAAAUCCCCAAAUCAAAAAGGCAUCAAAAUUUCUAUUCUUAAAAUUUUUCUGAAGAACACAUACAUCAUUAUUUCUUAUCCUUACCUCUUUCAUGAUAAAUAUUUGUGUUGGUUAUUUUUGAACAUUAUUGAACUAUUUGCAUGUGAAAAAAUAUCUAUGAUGAAAAGCUUAUGUUUUUAAGUAGAAAAGUUUUCUAAAUUUUUUUCUCAAACAAGAAUUCGGUUGUACCACGGAAUUUGUGACCCAAUGUUCCCUCAAUAUGACUUAUAGAUGAUGUUUUAAGAAAAUGAUUAAGAAAUCAAAGGAUCCACGGUUUGGUCACACAAAUGUUUUGAAAAAAAUGGGUUAACCAAGUGGUAAAAAUGCUUAGGAAAGUAAGUUUUUAAGCCAAAAUCAUGCUCCAAAUUUCAAAACUCUAACCACAUUAAGUUCUAUUCGUGGCUGACAAUAAUUUUGAUUUGUAUUACAAUCUCAUUUCAAACAUUCCUAAAGGAGAAAAAGGUCCAUACUUGUUCAAAAACAUGACUCCUUGCAAAUUGUGUGAACUUUGUCUUGUAUCACCACUUUUUCAUGAACCAAUAGCCUUAAGAACAUCAAAGAACUCUGUUUUGAUGUGUCAUUUAAGUUAUGGGGCUGUUUUGGAAAUUAUGAUACAAGCAAAGACUUUCAAUUUUUUUUACUUGGGCACUUUUUGUAAAUAUGUGAAUUAAUGCAUGAUGUUGGGGCUGUAUUUUCAUUAUUAAGACAUCAUAAAAUUAAUAAAGCAUAUUCAUAACCGGAAAUUUCAAAGGAUCCAAAUGAAGCUUGAGAAAAUUUGUAUGCCUACUUGACAAAAUGCCUUAAAUCUAAGCUUCUAACUCCUAGGUCUGGAAAAAUUGCUUGUAUAAUAUUUUUUGUAGAAGUGGAAGGGAUCUCUCAUAGAAAGGCAAAGAAGUUUCCAAGGAAUCCAAGAAAGGCAACAAAUUUUACUCUAAGGAUGCCAAACACAAGUUCAAGUAGAUUAUUCUGAAAAGUGCACCCCG